UGGGGAGCAAACAGGAUUAGAUACCCUGGUAGUCCACGCCGUAAACGAUGAGUGCUAGGUGUUAGACCCUNUCCGGGGUUUAGUGCCGCAGCUAACGCAUUAAGCACUCCGCCUGGGGAGUACGACCGCAAGGUUGAAACUCAAAGGAAUUGACGGGGGCCCGCACAAGCGGUGGAGCAUGUGGUUUAAUUCGAAGCAACGCGAAGAACCUUACCAGGUCUUGACAUCCCUCUGACCGCUCUAGAGAUAGAGUUUUCCUUCGGGACAGAGGUGACAGGUGGUGCAUGGUUGUCGUCAGCUCGUGUCGUGAGAUGUUGNNNNAANNNNNNCAACGAGCGCAACCCCUAUUGUUAGUUGCCAUCAUUUAGUUGGGCACUCUAGCGAGACUGCCGGUAAUAAACCGGAGGAAGGUGGGGAUGACGUCAAAUCAUCAUGCCCCUUAUGACCUGGGCUACACACGUGCUACAAUGGCUGGUACAACGAGUCGCAAGCCGGUGACGGCAAGCUAAUCUCUUAAAGCCAGUCUCAGUUCGGAUUGUAGGCUGCAACUNGC
Molecule: ribosomal RNA, 553 nt
Filed under: uncultured bacterium
Lineage: Bacteria
Description: partial 16S ribosomal RNA
Rfam family: Bacterial small subunit ribosomal RNA
Source: RNAcentral